RNAcentral lists this long non-coding RNA (338 nucleotides) under Zonotrichia albicollis (white-throated sparrow). RNAcentral describes it as "lncRNA (ENSZALG00000001026.1)". The record is from RNAcentral. Lineage: Eukaryota; Metazoa; Chordata; Aves; Passeriformes; Passerellidae.
UACCGGCAGAUGGAGGAGAGGAUCACCUGCCCCAUCUGCAUCGACGACCAGAUCAAGCUGGUGUUCCAGUGCGGGCACGGCUCCUGCCCGGACUGCAGCACGGCGCUGACCGUGUGCCCCAUCUGCCGCCAGGCCAUCCGCGAGAGGAUCCACAUCUUCGUCUGAGGGAGGAUCCACAUCUUUGUCUGAGGGAGGAUCCACAUCUUUGUCUGAGGGAGGAUCCCCAUCUUUGUCUGAGUGAGGAUCUGCUCCUCCCUGUGUCCCACCUGCCUCCCGGCUGUCUGGGAGAGGAUCCACAUCUUCCUCUGAGGAUUCUGCUCCUCCCUGGCCCUGACUGU